This is a non-coding RNA of Podarcis lilfordi (Lilford's wall lizard), 76 nucleotides long. The record is from the annotation of a GenBank genome assembly. Lineage: Eukaryota; Metazoa; Chordata; Lepidosauria; Squamata; Lacertidae.
UCAUUUUCUAGCUCAGUUGGUAAAGCAGGAGACUGUUACUCUCAGGGUCAUGGGUUUGAGCUUCCUGUUGGGUGAA